Molecule: unclassified non-coding RNA, 292 nt
Filed under: uncultured fungus
Lineage: Eukaryota; Fungi
Description: partial contains 5.8S ribosomal RNA, internal transcribed spacer 2, and large subunit ribosomal RNA
Source: RNAcentral
AACGCACCUUGCGCUCCUUGGACAUUCCGAGGAGCAUGCCUGUUUGAGUGUCAUUAAUAUCAUCAACUCCACUCACUUAGUUGGGUUGGGGCUUGGAUUGUGGAGGUUGUUGCGGGCCCUUUGGGUCAGCUCCUCUGAAAUGCAUUAGCGGAAACGGUUUGCGAUCCGUGAACAGGUGUGAUAGUUAUCUACGCCAGUUGGGUUGCUCUCUUGCGUGUUCAGCUCAUAGCCGUCGCGAGACAACAAUUGAAUGUUUGACCUCAAAUCAGGUAGGACUACCCGCUGAACUUAA